RNAcentral lists this ribosomal RNA (253 nucleotides) under uncultured bacterium. RNAcentral describes it as "partial 16S ribosomal RNA". It matches the Rfam family "Bacterial small subunit ribosomal RNA", at positions 524 to 776 of the family's 1533-position model. The record is from RNAcentral.
UACGUAGGGGGCUAGCGUUGUCCGGAUUUAUUGGGCGUAAAGAGCGUGUAGGCGGCCAGAUAGGUCCGUUGUGAAAACUGGAGGCUUAACCUCCAGCUGUCGAUGGAAACCAUCUGGCUAGAGUCCGGAAGAGGAGAGUGGAAUUCCUGGUGUAGCGGUGAAAUGCGCAGAUAUCAGGAAGAACACCCGUGGCUAAGGCGGCUCUCUAGUACGUGACUGACGCUGAGACGCGAAAGCGUGGGGAGCGAACAGG